CGCAAAGAUAAAAACACAGUCCGGUUGGUAGUCCGGGCGCAGCAAACGCUGUCAGUAACCUGCCUCCUUGGUUGUCCAUUCUUUGUGAGA
Molecule: non-coding RNA, 90 nt
Filed under: chicken gut metagenome
Description: yjdF RNA
Rfam family: azaaromatic riboswitch aptamer (yjdF RNA)
Source: RNAcentral